RNAcentral lists this ribosomal RNA (420 nucleotides) under uncultured archaeon. RNAcentral describes it as "partial 16S ribosomal RNA". It matches the Rfam family "Archaeal small subunit ribosomal RNA", at positions 323 to 746 of the family's 1478-position model. The record is from RNAcentral.
CUACGGUUGCUCCAGCUGAGGAAAUUUUACAAUGCACGAAAGUGUGAUAAAAUAAACCAGAGUGUUAUUCUUAGAAUAACUUUUGUUUGCUGUAAAAAGGCAGACGAAUAAGGACUGGGCAAGAACCGGUGCCAGCCGCCGCGGUAAUACCGGCGGUCCAAGUCGCAUCCACAUUUAUUGGGUCUAAAACAUCCGUAGCUUGUUUUGUAAGUUUCUUGUGAAAUCUCAUGUCUCAAGCAUGAGGCGGGCAAGAAAUACUGCAUUACUAGAGACCGGAAGACGUAAGGAGUACGAUUGAGGUAGCGGUAAAAUGUGUUAAUCUCAAUCGGACUAACAACGGCGAAGGCACCUUACGAGUACGGAUCUGACAGUGAGGGAUGAAGGCCAGGGGCGCGAAAGGGAUUAGAUACCCGCGUAGUC